This is a non-coding RNA of Plectropomus leopardus (leopard coralgrouper), 431 nucleotides long. Lineage: Eukaryota; Metazoa; Chordata; Actinopteri; Perciformes; Serranidae. The record is from RefSeq and is a predicted model, not a curated record.
CCUGUGGGUGUGUCAUUAACAUGUUUAUGUCCAUAUAAGGAGAGCAUCAGGGCAUUUGGUUCCUGGACUUGAAGAGUGGUUCUGGCAGCGCCGGUCAGGGCGUGCCGCCCAUAAAAGCCGACGUUGUCAUGACGAUGGACUCCAGCGAUUUCAGCAAGAUGUUUGCAGGGAAGCUGAAGCCCACGCUGGCGUUCAUGUCGGGGAAGCUGCGGAUCAAAGGUGACAUGACGCUCGCCAUGAAGCUGGAGAAACUCAUGAGCCGCAUGAACAAGGCCAAACUGUGAGACUGAAGCCCCGCCCCUGGGCCCUCUCAGGCCCCGCCUCUGGGGCCCCUCAGGCCCCACCCCCGUUCGAAGCUGUACGUGUUGCCUUAUCAAUGAAAAAAUAAUAAUACUAACAUGUUAAUAAAAUCUACCUUGGUAAUAAACUGA